Molecule: unclassified non-coding RNA, 240 nt
Filed under: soil metagenome
Description: partial contains 5.8S ribosomal RNA, internal transcribed spacer 2, and large subunit ribosomal RNA
Source: RNAcentral
AACAAGGCGUACCUGCGGACCUGCGGAGGGAUCAUUACCAGAGAGCCUUUUGGCACUCCAACCCAUUGUGAACAUACCUAUCGUUCCCUCGGCGGGCUCAGCGCGCGGGGCCUCCGGGCUUCCGGGCGUCCGCCGGGGACAACCAAACCCUGAUUUACUACGUGUAUCUCUGAGGGGCGAAAGCCCGAAAACAAAAUAAAUCAAAACUUUCAGCAACGGAUCUCAGAUCGGAAGAGCACA